GGGUUGUGAGGUUAAGCGACUAAGCGUACACGGUGGAUGCCCUGGCAGUCAGAGGCGAUGAAGGACGUGCUAAUCUGCGAUAAGCGUCGGUAAGGUGAUAUGAACCGUUAUAACCGGCGAUUUCCGAAUGGGGAAACCCAGUGUGAUUCGUCACACUAUCAUUAACUGAAUCCAUAGGUUAAUGAGGCGAACCGGGGGAACUGAAACAUCUAAGUACCCCGAGGAAAAGAAAUCAACCGAGAUUCCCCCAGUAGCGGCGAGCGAACGGGGAGCAGCCCAGAGCCUGAAUCAGUGUGUGUGUUAGUGGAAGCGUCUGGAAAGGCGCGCGAUACAGGGUGACAGCCCCGUACACAAAAAUGCACAUGCUGUGAGCUCGAUGAGUAGGGCGGGACACGUGGUAUCCUGUCUGAAUAUGGGGGGACCAUCCUCCAAGGCUAAAUACUCCUGACUGACCGAUAGUGAACCAGUACCGUGAGGGAAAGGCGAAAAGAACCCCGGCGAGGGGAGUGAAAAAGAACCUGAAACCGUGUACGUACAAGCAGUGGGAGCACGCUUAGGCGUGUGACUGCGUACCUUUUGUAUAAUGGGUCAGCGACUUAUAUUCUGUAGCAAGGUUAACCGAAUAGGGGAGCCGAAGGGAAACCGAGUCUUAACUGGGCGUUAAGUUGCAGGGUAUAGACCCGAAACCCGGUGAUCUAGCCAUGGGCAGGUUGAAGGUUGGGUAACACUAACUGGAGGACCGAACCGACUAAUGUUGAAAAAUUAGCGGAUGACUUGUGGCUGGGGGUGAAAGGCCAAUCAAACCGGGAGAUAGCUGGUUCUCCCCGAAAGCUAUUUAGGUAGCGCCUCGUGAAUUCAUCUCCGGGGGUAGAGCACUGUUUCGGCAAGGGGGUCAUCCCGACUUACCAACCCGAUGCAAACUGCGAAUACCGGAGAAUGUUAUCACGGGAGACACACGGCGGGUGCUAACGUCCGUCGUGAAGAGGGAAACAACCCAGACCGCCAGCUAAGGUCCCAAAGUCAUGGUUAAGUGGGAAACGAUGUGGGAAGGCCCAGACAGCCAGGAUGUUGGCUUAGAAGCAGCCAUCAUUUAAAGAAAGCGUAAUAGCUCACUGGUCGAGUCGGCCUGCGCGGAAGAUGUAACGGGGCUAAACCAUGCACCGAAGCUGCGGCAGCGACGCUUAUGCGUUGUUGGGUAGGGGAGCGUUCUGUAAGCCUGUGAAGGUGUGCUGUGAGGCAUGCUGGAGGUAUCAGAAGUGCGAAUGCUGACAUAAGUAACGAUAAAGCGGGUGAAAAGCCCGCUCGCCGGAAGACCAAGGGUUCCUGUCCAACGUUAAUCGGGGCAGGGUGAGUCGACCCCUAAGGCGAGGCCGAAAGGCGUAGUCGAUGGGAAACAGGUUAAUAUUCCUGUACUUGGUGUUACUGCGAAGGGGGGACGGAGAAGGCUAUGUUGGCCGGGCGACGGUUGUCCCGGUUUAAGCGUGUAGGCUGGUUUUCCAGGCAAAUCCGGAAAAUCAAGGCUGAGGCGUGAUGACGAGGCACUACGGUGCUGAAGCAACAAAUGCCCUGCUUCCAGGAAAAGCCUCUAAGCAUCAGGUAACAUCAAAUCGUACCCCAAACCGACACAGGUGGUCAGGUAGAGAAUACCAAGGCGCUUGAGAGAACUCGGGUGAAGGAACUAGGCAAAAUGGUGCCGUAACUUCGGGAGAAGGCACGCUGAUAUGUAGGUGAAGUCCCUUGCGGAUGGAGCUGAAAUCAGUCGAAGAUACCAGCUGGCUGCAACUGUUUAUUAAAAACACAGCACUGUGCAAACACGAAAGUGGACGUAUACGGUGUGACGCCUGCCCGGUGCCGGAAGGUUAAUUGAUGGGGUCAGCGCAAGCGAAGCUCUUGAUCGAAGCCCCGGUAAACGGCGGCCGUAACUAUAACGGUCCUAAGGUAGCGAAAUUCCUUGUCGGGUAAGUUCCGACCUGCACGAAUGGCGUAAUGAUGGCCAGGCUGUCUCCACCCGAGACUCAGUGAAAUUGAACUCGCUGUGAAGAUGCAGUGUACCCGCGGCAAGACGGAAAGACCCCGUGAACCUUUACUAUAGCUUGACACUGAACAUUGAGCCUUGAUGUGUAGGAUAGGUGGGAGGCUUGGAAGUGUGGACGCCAGUCUGCAUGGAGCCGACCUUGAAAUACCACCCUUUAAUGUUUGAUGUUCUAACGUUGACCCGUAAUCCGGGUUGCGGACAGUGUCUGGUGGGUAGUUUGACUGGGGCGGUCUCCUCCUAAAGAGUAACGGAGGAGCACGAAGGUUGGCUAAUCCUGGUCGGACAUCAGGAGGUUAGUGCAAUGGCAUAAGCCAGCUUGACUGCGAGCGUGACGGCGCGAGCAGGUGCGAAAGCAGGUCAUAGUGAUCCGGUGGUUCUGAAUGGAAGGGCCAUCGCUCAACGGAUAAAAGGUACUCCGGGGAUAACAGGCUGAUACCGCCCAAGAGUUCAUAUCGACGGCGGUGUUUGGCACCUCGAUGUCGGCUCAUCACAUCCUGGGGCUGAAGUAGGUCCCAAGGGUAUGGCUGUUCGCCAUUUAAAGUGGUACGCGAGCUGGGUUUAGAACGUCGUGAGACAGUUCGGUCCCUAUCUGCCGUGGGCGCUGGAGAACUGAGGGGGGCUGCUCCUAGUACGAGAGGACCGGAGUGGACGCAUCACUGGUGUUCGGGUUGUCAUGCCAAUGGCACUGCCCGGUAGCUAAAUGCGGAAGAGAUAAGUGCUGAAAGCAUCUAAGCACGAAACUUGCCCCGAGAUGAGUUCUCCCUGACUCCUUGAGAGUCCUGAAGGAACGUUGAAGACGACGACGUUGAUAGGCCGGGUGUGUAAGCGCAGCGAUGCGUUGAGCUAACCGGUACUAAUGAACCGUGAGGCUUAACCUUACAACGCCGAAGCUGUU
Molecule: ribosomal RNA, 2930 nt
Filed under: Escherichia coli
Lineage: Bacteria; Pseudomonadati; Pseudomonadota; Gammaproteobacteria; Enterobacterales; Enterobacteriaceae
Description: bacterial LSU rRNA
Rfam family: Bacterial large subunit ribosomal RNA
Source: RNAcentral